RNAcentral lists this ribosomal RNA (693 nucleotides) under uncultured bacterium. RNAcentral describes it as "bacterial SSU rRNA". It matches the Rfam family "Bacterial small subunit ribosomal RNA", at positions 32 to 715 of the family's 1533-position model. The record is from RNAcentral.
AACGCUAGCUACAGGCUUAACACACGCAAGUCGAGGGGCAGCAUGAUUGAAGCUUGCUUCAAUUGAUGGCGACCGGCGCACGGGUGAGUAACACGUAUCCAACCUGCCGAUGACUCGGGGAUAGCCUUUCGAAAGAAAGAUUAAUACCCGAUGGCAUAGUUCUUCCGCAUGGUGGAACUAUUAAAGAAUUUCGGUCAUCGAUGGGGAUGCGUUCCAUUAGGUUGUUGGCGGGGUAACGGCCCACCAAGCCUUCGAUGGAUAGGGGUUCUGAGAGGAAGGUCCCCCACAUUGGAACUGAGACACGGUCCAAACUCCUACGGGAGGCAGCAGUGAGGAAUAUUGGUCAAUGGACGAGAGUCUGAACCAGCCAAGUAGCGUGAAGGAUGACUGCCCUAUGGGUUGUAAACUACUUUUAUACGGGAAUAAAGUGAGGCACGUGUGCCUUUUUGUAUGUACCGUAUGAAUAAGGAUCGGCUAACUCCGCGCCAGCAGCCGCGGUAAUACGGAGGAUCCGAGCGUUAUCCGGAUUUAUUGGGUUUAAAGGGAGCGUAGGCGGACGCUUAAGUCAGUUGUGAAAGUUUGCGGCUCAACCGUAAAAUUGCAGUUGAUACUGGGUGUCUUGAGUACAGUAGAGGCAGGCGGAAUUCGUGGUGUAGCGGUGAAAUGCUAAGAUAUCACGAAGAACUCCGAUUG